This 545-nucleotide ribosomal RNA is filed under the name uncultured bacterium. RNAcentral describes it as "partial 16S ribosomal RNA". It matches the Rfam family "Bacterial small subunit ribosomal RNA", at positions 355 to 914 of the family's 1533-position model. The record is from RNAcentral.
UGGGGAAUAUUGCACAAUGGGCGAAAGCCUGAUGCAGCAACGCCGCGUGAGUGAUGAAGGUCUUCGGAUUGUAAAGCUCUGUCUUUUGGGACGAUAAUGACGGUACCAAAGGAGGAAGCCACGGCUAACUACGUGCCAGCAGCCGCGGUAAUACGUAGGUGGCGAGCGUUGUCCGGAUUUACUGGGCGUAAAGGGUGCGUAGGCGGAUGUUUAAGUGAGAUGUGAAAUACCCGGGCUUAACUUGGGUGCUGCAUUUCAAACUGGAUAUCUAGAGUGCAGGAGAGGAGAAUGGAAUUCCUAGUGUAGCGGUGAAAUGCGUAGAGAUUAGGAAGAACACCAGUGGCGAAGGCGAUUCUCUGGACUGUAACUGACGCUGAGGCACGAAAGCGUGGGUAGCAAACAGGAUUAGAUACCCUGGUAGUCCACGCCGUAAACGAUGAGUACUAGGUGUAGGAGGUAUCGACCCCUUCUGUGCCGCAGUAAACACAUUAAGUACUCCGCCUGGGAAGUACGAUCGCAAGAUUAAAACUCUAAAGUGAGUUGAC